AUUGAACGCUGGCGGCAUGCUUUACACAUGCAAGUCGAACGGCAGCACGGGGGCAACCCUGGUGGCGAGUGGCGAACGGGUGAGUAAUGCAUCGGAACGUACCCGGGAGUGGGGGAUAACGUAGCGAAAGUUACGCUAAUACCGCAUAUUCUGUGAGCAGGAAAGUGGGGGACCGUAAGGCCUCACGCUUCUGGAGCGGCCGAUGUCGGAUUAGCUAGUUGGUGGGGUAAAGGCUUACCAAGGCGACGAUCCGUAGCGGGUCGGAGAGGAUGGGCCGCCACACUGGGACUGAGAAACGGCCCAGACUCCUACGGGAGGCAGCAGUGGGGAAUUUUGGACAAUGGGCGCAAGCCUGAUCCAGCCAUGCCGCGUGAGUGAAGAAGGCCUUCGGGUUGUAAAGCUCUUUUGUUGGGGAAGAAAUGCUCUGGGUUAAUACCCUGGGGUGAUGACGGUACCCAAAGAAUAAGCACCGGCUAACUACGUGCCAGCAGCCGCCGCAG
RNAcentral lists this ribosomal RNA (500 nucleotides) under uncultured bacterium. RNAcentral describes it as "partial 16S ribosomal RNA". It matches the Rfam family "Bacterial small subunit ribosomal RNA", at positions 29 to 523 of the family's 1533-position model. The record is from RNAcentral.